AUGCACGACACGGAAGGCCUGCCGUUCAUGAAGCAUGGUUGUGUCUUCAAUGCGCACCACCGGAUGAACGACAUGCUGGGACACACUAUCCCUGAUUUAUGCCGCUUUAGCUUGGAUGAGUCUCCAUCAUGUGGAACCAGACUAGAAAGCCACGACAAUGAUUCCCGUUGCCCACCGCUAUGGAUCAUGCCAUCCAUGAAGAACAUCUGGGACUGGAACCUGGAGGAGGACAUUUUGAAGCACUCCUCUGGUUUGAAGGAUAGAUACCUUCCUGGGAUCAAGUGCAUCCUAACUCACCUGCUACCAUAUAACUGGAGUUACCGAUGCAAGUCGAAGAAGGAUUGGCCCGUGCUGCCGGCUGGCGUCAAGUUUGAUCCCACGGAUCAGGAGCUGAUCGAGCACUUUGAGGCCAAAGUGAGUGCUGACAGCGCGAGAUUUCAGUCUCUCAUCGAUUUGUUCAUACCAACCAUCGACAGCGAGCACGACAUAUGUUACACCCAACCUGAGAAACUUCCAGGUAUCACACUGAGUGGCCUAAGGAAGCAUUUCUUCCAAUGCAAUUCCAGGGCGUUUAAAAGGGGCGUGUGGACGCAUCGCAAGAUACAGUCAGAGUGUGGCAUGCACGCGAUGUGGCACCAGACCGACAAUACCUUGCCGGUGAUGGUCAACGGCCGGCAGACGGCAGCAAAAAAGGUUCUGGUGCUGCACACCAACAAGAACUUCGACCAGCAAAGGACCAACUGGGUGAUGCACCAGUACCACCUCGGGGACCUGGAGCAAGAGAAGGAGCGGGAGCUGGUCCUCUGCAAGAUUUUCUACCAGACGAACACUAGGGCCAGGAGUAAAAAGAUUAUAAGUUAUUUUGGUAUUGGUAGUUGUACUACCUUGUCGUCCGCAAGUUGGUAUUGUUGUUAA
This 915-nucleotide ribosomal RNA is filed under the name Triticum aestivum (bread wheat). RNAcentral describes it as "partial small subunit ribosomal RNA". The record is from RNAcentral. Lineage: Eukaryota; Viridiplantae; Streptophyta; Magnoliopsida; Poales; Poaceae.